CAGCCGCCGCGGGAAAACGGAGGGUGCAAGCGUUAAUCGGAUUUACUGGGCGUAAAGCGUGCGUAGGCGGCUUUUUAAGUCGGAUGUGAAAUCCCUGAGCUUAACUUAGGAAUUGCAUUCGAUACUGGGAAGCUAGAGUAUGGGAGAGGAUGGUAGAAUUCCAGGUGUAGCGGUGAAAUGCGUAGAGAUCUGGAGGAAUACCGAUGGCGAAGGCAGCCAUCUGGCCUAAUACUGACGCUGAGGUACGAAAGCAUGGGGAGCAAACAGGAUUAGAUACCCCCGUAGUCCCUGUCUCUUAUAC
RNAcentral lists this ribosomal RNA (301 nucleotides) under uncultured bacterium. RNAcentral describes it as "partial 16S ribosomal RNA". It matches the Rfam family "Bacterial small subunit ribosomal RNA", at positions 509 to 807 of the family's 1533-position model. The record is from RNAcentral.